Molecule: ribosomal RNA, 159 nt
Filed under: uncultured beta proteobacterium
Lineage: Bacteria; Pseudomonadati; Pseudomonadota; Betaproteobacteria
Description: partial 16S ribosomal RNA
Rfam family: Bacterial small subunit ribosomal RNA
Source: RNAcentral
UGGGGAAUUUUGGACAAUGGGGGCAACCCUGAUCCAGCCAUGCCGCGUGAGUGAAGAAGGCCUUCGGGUUGUAAGCUCUCUCGGCCGGGAAGAAAUCGCCAUCUCUAACAUAGGUGGUGGAUGACGGUACCGGAAUAAGAAGCACCGGCUAACUACGUG